This 253-nucleotide ribosomal RNA is filed under the name uncultured bacterium. RNAcentral describes it as "partial 16S ribosomal RNA". It matches the Rfam family "Bacterial small subunit ribosomal RNA", at positions 524 to 776 of the family's 1533-position model. The record is from RNAcentral.
GACAGAGGGUGCAAACGUUGUUCGGAAUUACUGGGCGUAAAGCGAGUGUAGGCGGUUUGGUAAGUCGGAUGUGAAAGCCCUGGGCUCAACCCAGGAAGUGCAUUCGAUACUGUCAAGCUAGAGUAUCGGAGAGGUUGGUGGAAUUCUCGGUGUAGAGGUGAAAUUCGUAGAUAUCGAGAGGAACACCGGUGGCGAAGGCGGCCAACUGGACGAAUACUGACGCUGAGGCACGAAAGCGUGGGGAGCAAACAGG